AUCGAACGCUGGCGGAAUGCUUUACACAUGCAAGUCGAACGGCAGCACGGGGGCAACCCUGGUGGCGAGUGGCGAACGGGUGAGUAAUACAUCGGAACGUGCCCAGUCGUGGGGGACAACGUAGCGAAAGUUACGCUAAUACCGCAUACGAUCUACGGAUGAAAGCGGGGGACCGUAAGGCCUCGCGCGAUUGGAGCGGCCGAUGUCAGAUUAGGUAGUUGGUGAGGUAAGGGCUCACCAAGCCGACGAUCUGUAGCUGGUCUGAGAGGACGACCAGCCACACUGGGACUGAGACACGGCCCAGACUCCUACGGGAGGCAGCAGUGGGGAAUUUUGGACAAUGGGCGCAAGCCUGAUCCGGCCAUUCCGCGUGCAGGACGAAGGCCUUCGGGUUGUAAACUGCUUUUGUACGGAACGAAAAGGCUCUGGUUAAUACCUGGGGCUCAUGACGGUACCGUAAGAAUAAGCACCGGCUAACUACGUGCCAGCCGCCGCGGUAA
This 500-nucleotide ribosomal RNA is filed under the name uncultured bacterium. RNAcentral's name for it is "partial 16S ribosomal RNA". It matches the Rfam family "Bacterial small subunit ribosomal RNA", at positions 29 to 523 of the family's 1533-position model. The record is from RNAcentral.